Molecule: ribosomal RNA, 460 nt
Filed under: uncultured bacterium
Lineage: Bacteria
Description: partial 16S ribosomal RNA
Rfam family: Bacterial small subunit ribosomal RNA
Source: RNAcentral
CCUACGGGUGGCAGCAGUGAGGAAUAUUGGUCAAUGGACGCGAGUCUGAACCAGCCAAGUAGCGUGAAGGAUGACUGCCCUAUGGGUUGUAAACUUCUUUUAUAUGGGAAUAAAACGUUCCACGUGUGGGAUUUUGUAUGUACCAUAUGAAUAAGGAUCGGCUAACUCCGUGCCAGCAGCCGCGGUAAUACGGAGGAUCCGAGCGUUAUCCGGAUUUAUUGGGUUUAAAGGGAGCGUAGGUGGAUUGUUAAGUCAGUUGUGAAAGUUUGCGGCUUAACCGUAAAAUUGCAGUUGAAACUGGCAGUCUUGAGUACAGUAGAGGUGGGCGGAAUUCGUGGUGUAGCGGUGAAAUGCUUAGAUAUCACGAAGAACUCCGAUUGCGAAGGCAGUUCACUGGACUGCAACUGACACUGAGGCUCGAAAGUGUGGGUAUCAAACAGGAUUAGAUACCCCGGUAGUC